This is a long non-coding RNA of Gallus gallus (chicken), 1143 nucleotides long. The record is from Ensembl. NCBI's taxonomy places the organism in Eukaryota, Metazoa, Chordata, Aves, Galliformes, Phasianidae.
UGAGCACUCUCUUCCGAAGGCCAAUAGCUCCAGAGAAAUGCUUUCAAAUGUAAAAUUGUCCACACAGUGAUGCUGACUGCCACACAGCAACACCUACCUCUCAUCUCCUAGAUAAGCCAGGGUCUUAUCACAAGAAAUGCCUCAGAAAGCAAGCUUUGAACCAAAAACAAAGAAGGAUUGAGACACUACCCAAGAGUAGUAUUUACUUAAAUGGAAAUCAGCUCAAGUAAUUGAUCUUUUUUAGAAGCAAAAACAUGAUUUAAAACUUCAGAGGUGUGAAAUUCAAUCAUGCAAUUUUAAGCAGGAUCUUACAGUGAAACUUAAAGAAUUAAAAGCAGGGUUUUGGAGAAGAAUAUUUGCUACCUGUGAUGGAGUUCACUGACAAAUCUUUGUUAGUGUGAGGAGAUGGAUACUCUAAUGCUACAUUCAUUGAUCUUAAGAUGUGAAAGUUCUUUAUGAAGUAAAGCAACUUUAUUGUGCAAAGAUAUUUGCAGACUACUAUUAAUUCACUGGAAAGACGUCAGCACAGCAAGUCCCCUCCACAUUUGAGCUGUGUCCAUGAAGAUCUAUGAUCAUCGGGCUUUUAUUAGUACAAAUUUAAUGCACCACAACGCUGCUUCUUAAGAGAACAGAAGAACCUUUGAACCACAGCAGUGUGAUGAUAGGGAAGAAAAUAUGCAAAACUGAAACUCUUCCCUGGUGAGCAAACAGCAUCAAAUAGAAAAACUAUAGAUUUAAAACAUCAAAGGAUACCUUCUUAAUCCAUGGCUUACUGAUAACACUUCUUACUUUCUGUCCUAAACAUGCACACACAUUUGAGUUUCAGAGUGGAAGAAAAUGUAUCCUUUAUGUGAAUUUAUGCAUAGAACUCUGAAAAAAAUCAAGCAGAUUCUUGAUCCCUAUCACAAAAUGCUGAAAAUGUGAAAUCAUGGCUCAGUCUCAACAAAACAACAAACACUAAAAAAUACCUAUUAGCUGGAAGUGGAGGGAACAUUUCCUGGGGUUCAUGGCCAAGGCAAAAGGUUAAAUACCUACACACAACAAAACCAAGCCAUUUUCCUUCUCCAUUGAGAACUACAUCUGCACUUUGUUUCACUUCACAAUUUCACACAGCUACCAUAUCCUUGGUAUUCCCUUCCUCAA